AUUCUUACUGAACUGAACUUACACAAAAAAUGUCAGGACAUUUUUUGCUUGUCACUCCACCCUGCCAGUGAGCAGGCUGGGGGUGAGCAAGGAUUUGGGAGAGGACACAGAUGGGACAGCUGAUCCCAACUGACCUAAUGGAUAUCCCACACUAUGGCCUCAUGCUCAGCAUGUAAGGAAAUCCAGCUGGACCUGAAUAUCCCUGGUGUUACAUACAUUAAAAAAACCCAAAACAAAUGAGAACUGCUUAAGAAGUGGCUGGAGACUGUUUGGCUGAAGAAGGGAUGAAUGAGAAGAACUCAGAAGCAGAUGGAUUUCAGGGAUGCUGACCCAGAUGAGAUCAUCUCUUCUGUGUGCUUUACUCAGCUCUUUGACAACUUUUGUUCUCUACAGGAAAUAUUUAUAUGUACUCUGGAAAGAGAUGGUGUUAAAAAUGUGUGCUUUUAGUAGAAAACAGCGGCCAGAUCAACAACAGAUGUCAAUUAACACAGUAGUUUUGUAUAAUUCACACUUAUUAGUCAGUUUUUUAAAAUCUCAGUAUCCCUCAAGUUUUACAGUGGGUACAACUCUUACCCAGAACUUCAGUGUUAAUAACCAGCUCUGUAAGUCACUCUUGAAGUAGGUCUGAAGCACCAGAAGAACCACAGCUCUCAAUCAGAUGCCGCAAACCCGAUCACGUUUCAGAGGCUUUUCCAUAAUGGCAAGUGUGCAUCUCACCAUUAGAAAAAGAGCCUCUUGAUUAUCAGGUGUAAAAUCUCUUUACACUAGGUGGAGCUGGCGGUCUAAAAGCAAAGCCAGCAGCUUCCUGCUCAACUGCAGCUUCAUCUGUGCGCUAGCAGGACCUAAUCAUCCUUCUUUCUUUCUCAAGAAUAAAAUCACUCAAAAAUCAGCAAAAAGGAGGUUGUGAAUAGCACAUGGAGCAGGGUGUCCCCUCUCACACAUACAUUAUACAAUGACAGUCCAUCCAAACCAAUGUACCUUCUGCUACAAUUAUUGCCAAGAUUCAUCUUCAAAAAGGAGCAGCCACUGCUCACUUCUGACUGGAGCAUGAACCCAUGUUAAGGUCAACCAGUGGGCUUUAAUGGGUUUUGCAUCAGCCUCUCCAUGUAUGCAUUACUAAUAGCAAUUCCCUUCCACACCACCAGACUGAAUAGCUGUGCAAAUGUUAUUUUUCAGAUUUAGUGUACUUUCAUGUCCCAUGUGUUUCAUGUUAUUAUUGUUAUGCCUUGGUGGCAGCACAAAUCCUUAAACAACUAAAGAUGGCAAAGCAUGGAAAAAUCGUGCAUCCCACAGCUAUUUACCUCAUGGAAGUGAUUUCUAAUGCUGACUGAAGAAGCCUUUUUUCUGAGACCAAACAGAAAGUCUCUGUCUGACAGAAUGCUAUUUUAAAUAUUUGGGUGUGUUUCCAUGGGGACAGAGAUUAAACUGGUAUAUUUAUCAGUUUCCAUCUCUUCUCUCUUUGUGAUAUCCAAGAUAACCGUACAUUUCAAACACAUCUGCAGAAAGCUAUUCAAAAAAGCUUCUGCUUGUAGCAAGAAAAUGACAGAAAUCAUAAUCACAGUAAUUAGAACAAUGAAAGUUGUACUUCCCUGUAAUGGUCUCAAAAGAUGCCCAUGGUUUAAGCAAAGCUGGACUUUAAUCAUAGAGUAAUUUUUUUGCCUCACUGAUGAGAAAAAUAACUGACCCAAAAUUAGAAUGAUGGAUGAACCAG
Zonotrichia leucophrys gambelii is the source of this 1711-nucleotide long non-coding RNA. RefSeq lists it as uncharacterized. Lineage: Eukaryota; Metazoa; Chordata; Aves; Passeriformes; Passerellidae. The record is from RefSeq and is a predicted model, not a curated record. The transcript is spliced from 3 exons.